Molecule: transfer RNA, 48 nt
Filed under: Sceloporus magister (desert spiny lizard)
Lineage: Eukaryota; Metazoa; Chordata; Lepidosauria; Squamata; Phrynosomatidae
Description: partial tRNA-Ser
Source: RNAcentral
AAGAGGUGUUUUGAACACCAAGAACUGCUAAUUCCUGUUACUGAAGUU